CCUACGGGAGGCAGCAGUGGGGAAUAUUGCACAAUGGGGGAAACCCUGAUGCAGCGACGCCGCGUGAGUGAAGAAGUAUCUCGGUAUGUAAAGCUCUAUCAGUAGGGAAGAAAAUGACGGUACCUGACUAAGAAGCCCAGGCUAACUACGUGCCAGCAGCCGUGGUAAUACGUAGGGUGCAAGCGUUAUCCGGAUUUACUGGGUGUAAAGGGAGCGUAGACGGCGCUGCAAGUCCGGAGUGAAAGCCCAUGGCUUAACAUUGGUGCUGGUGUGGAUACCGUGGAGCUUGAGUUCGGGAGGGGCAGGCGGAAUUCGUAGUGUAGCGGUGAAAUGCGUAGAUAUUAGGAAGAACACCGGCGGCGAAGGCGGCCUGCUGGGCCGUAACUGACGUUGAGGCUCGAAAGCGUGGGGAGCGAACAGGAUUAGAUACCCCAGUAGUC
This 440-nucleotide ribosomal RNA is filed under the name uncultured bacterium. RNAcentral describes it as "partial 16S ribosomal RNA". It matches the Rfam family "Bacterial small subunit ribosomal RNA", at positions 338 to 795 of the family's 1533-position model. The record is from RNAcentral.